ACUGUCUUAGUUCAUUUUCUGCUGCUAUCACAGAAUACCACAGACUGGGUAAUUUAUAAGGAACAGAAGUUUAUUUGGCUCAUGGUUCUGGAGGCUGGAAAGUCCAAGAGCAUGGCACUGGCAUCUGACAAAGUCAUUCCAAGGUGGAAGGCAUCACAUGGUCUCACUCUGUUGCCCACGCUGGACUACAGUGGCAUGAUCUCAGCUCACUGCAACAUCUGCCUCCCAGGCUCAAGCAAUCCUCUUACCUUGAAGCAGAAGAUGCAAGAAGAAAAAAAACAAACUUUCUUCCUUUCCUGUGGCUUUUAGAAAAACAGUGGCACCACACCACACCCAGGACCUGGAAUAGGUGGAAUGGCAGCCCCUCAAAAUAUAUGUCCAUGUCUUAAUGCCGAGCCGCUGUGAAUGUGGCCUUAUUUGGAGAAGGGGUUUUUGCAGAUUAAUUAAAUUAAGGACCCUGAGAUGAGAUCAUCCUGUAUUACCAAGGUGGGCCCCAAAUCCAAUGACAGAUGUCCUUAUAAGAGACACAGGAGGAGAAGACACAGACACAGAGGAGAAGGCCCUGUGAAUACAGAGGCAGAAACUGGAGUACGCAGCCACCAUUCAAGGCAUUUGGUCAGCCACAGAAGCUGGAAAAGGAAGUGGAAUCUCUCCUAGAGCCUGUGGAGGGAGCACAGCCUUGCCAACACCUCGACUUCAGAUUUCUGUUUUCCAGAACUCUGAGAGAAUAAAUUGCUGUUGUUUAAGCCACUAAGUUGACAGGAAUUUGCUAUGGCAGCCCUAGGAAACUCACAUAACACCACAGCCAGGCUUCCAGUCUCUCACCUGAAAAAGAGAGGUCCAAACACAAACAGCGUGGCAGGGAAUGCUAGAGAUGCCCUCAUAACACUGGUGACAAACUAGACGAGAUCUUUCAAACCCUCACUCUGAAAGACAACUAGAAUAGCUAGGCCUUACCAAUUUCCAACUAGGAUUCAUGACUGAUGGAAUCAGGUUUUACAGUUCCUAAUUUUUCCAAGUUUUGAGUAGUUUUUUUU
RNAcentral lists this long non-coding RNA (1037 nucleotides) under Homo sapiens (human). RNAcentral's name for it is "HSALNT0043234". The record is from RNAcentral. Lineage: Eukaryota; Metazoa; Chordata; Mammalia; Primates; Hominidae.